Molecule: transfer RNA, 65 nt
Filed under: Dipodomys ordii (Ord's kangaroo rat)
Lineage: Eukaryota; Metazoa; Chordata; Mammalia; Rodentia; Heteromyidae
Rfam family: tRNA
About the family: Transfer RNA (tRNA) molecules are approximately 80 nucleotides in length. Their secondary structure includes four short double-helical elements and three loops (D, anti-codon, and T loops).
Source: Rfam by way of RNAcentral
GGUGGCUCAAUGGUAGAGCACUUGCCUUGCAUGCAUGAAGCCCUGGGUUCGAUUCCUCAGCACCA